ACGCAGUGCAAAGGGCCACUUCGGCACCGCCCCUCGGGGCUUGUGUGUGCUGGGGAAAGUCCCCGGGCGACGAGGUAGAAAGUACCACUCCGAAAGGAUAGGACCCUCGCGGCAGGCUCGAGCCUUUCGGGGCCAGAGCCACGCUGCGGGGCAGCUCGCCAUUUUCACAGUUAUGUGGCCUCCUGCUGCGGCUGGACUGCGGUGCCUCGGCUCCGCAAUCUAGUCGACGGGAAACUCAACGGGGCUUACUCUUGUGCUGACG
This 262-nucleotide RNase MRP RNA is filed under the name Helicosporidium sp. ATCC 50920. RNAcentral's name for it is "RNase MRP". It matches the Rfam family "RNase MRP". From Rfam's summary of the family: RNase MRP is an enzymatically active ribonucleoprotein with two distinct roles in eukaryotes. The record is from Rfam by way of RNAcentral. Lineage: Eukaryota; Viridiplantae; Chlorophyta; Trebouxiophyceae; Chlorellales; Chlorellaceae.